Molecule: ribosomal RNA, 400 nt
Filed under: uncultured soil bacterium
Lineage: Bacteria
Description: bacterial SSU rRNA
Rfam family: Bacterial small subunit ribosomal RNA
Source: RNAcentral
AGAUUGAACGCUGGCGGCAUGCCUUACACAUGCAAGUCGAACGGUAGAGUAGCAAUACUUGAGAGUGGCGAACGGGUGAGUAAUAUAUCGGAACGUGCCCAGUCGUGGGGGAUAACGUAGAGAAAUUUACGCUAAUACCGCAUACGAUCUAAGGAUGAAAGCGGGGGACCGUAAGGCCUCGCGCGAUUGGAGCGGCUGAUAUCAGAUUAGGUUGUUGGUGAGGUAAAAGCUCACCAAGCCGAACGAUCUGUAGCUGGUUUGAGAGGACGACCCGCCACACUGGAACUGAGACACGGUCCAGACCUCUACGGGAGGCAGCAGUGGGAAUUUUGGACAAUAGGGGGAAACCCUGAUCAGCCAUCCCGCGUGUGGCGAUAGAAGGUCCUUCGGGUUAGGUAAA